GACUCAUCAACUAUACCAGUCCUCUGUUCCUGGUCUCUGGAGCUUCAAUUUGGGAAAGUGACCCAUUAGCUUCUGAGGACCAGGGUGAGAGAGGGCAAACUUGAAUGCCCUUCACAAUGGAGAGAUGUGUGCAGACCGGACAGACAUCAGUUCCUUUAUCAGUGCACAGGUAGCUGCAAUAUGCUUCCUGGAAUCCUCUCUCAAAUAAACUGCUUGCCUCCAAAUCCUUGUCUCAGGCCUGCAUGUGGAGAGAUAAAACCCAGACAAAGAGGCAGACAUGAGCAGAUGAGCUCCCCCGAACAGGAGACAAGUGGGCUGAGAGGUGAAGGAAGAGGAUGAGGAUACCUCUGCCUCCGAGAAAAUGAGACUGGGUUGUCCUGCUGAAGGAAAAGAGUCACAUGACUAUUGCUCAGAUAACAUCAAGCUAACCACCAGGCAUGUGAGUGAGACUGUCUAAGAUAACCCAGUUUCAGCUGAGCUGAUCCAGAGCAGAAAAGCUGUCCAGGAACCAAGGAACCUGACAGAUAAGUAAUUUUUCUUACUUUAAAUCUUUAUAUUUGAAUUGGUCUCUUAUCCAGCAAAAACUGCCUGAUAUGACACCUUCACAACUCCUUUAUAUAUUCCAACUUAAUUGUAGCCUCCUUGAGCACAGAACCACUUUGACUGACAUCUUCUGAAGCUCCUUCAGGACUCAGAUUCUGCCUCACUCAUUUAAGGAGCAGAGGACAUGUUUGUUGAUUGACAAUCUUGUCCAAAGUUUCUGCUAUGCUUCAAGGAUCAGUUAGUAAUUUAAUUCCUUUAGAGGCUGGUUUAGGUCCCCAAGCACCAGCUAAAAACAAACCUGCAACAUCGAAUCUUGAAAAAAAGCCAACAGAUCAUAAGCUUUGAAAUCAACUGUAGGAUCUAUGGAGGAACAUUUUGCUAGGGCUUCAAAGACCAUAGGCAUUAAUAUAAACUCACUCUCAGACUCAGAUCCUCUCUCUGAUUUCUCCUUCAGUUCCUGCAGAGAAUUUGAGUCAAAGGGAAUGGAAGAGUCAGCUAGUUCAAAUGAAUUGAGGUGGGGAUGAUUAGAAAUUGAAACUCAGCUGACAAAAUUGGGAAGUAAAGUUUCUCUGAAAGUAUUAUUUUCAUAAUUAUAAGGAAUUUGCAUAUAUAUAUAAAUUACUUUCUGUCAUUUAAAAAUGCUUCCACAAAAAUAUACAUAAGAGUUUCACCUCAAGGUUGAAAAUGAGAAAGUUGGAGUAUAUGAUGAGUAAGAGCUUAUAAAUAUAUAAUCCUGUAUAGAGUUCUGACAUCCUAGAUGCUGUCCACCUGUCCCUAACAAAAGCCAUGGAUUUCUACAGGGUCAUGUAAAGUAAAAGGUUAUUUUGAACAUUCUAAA
RNAcentral lists this long non-coding RNA (1381 nucleotides) under Homo sapiens (human). RNAcentral's name for it is "long intergenic non-protein coding RNA 1747". The record is from RNAcentral. Lineage: Eukaryota; Metazoa; Chordata; Mammalia; Primates; Hominidae.